This 565-nucleotide ribosomal RNA is filed under the name Meyerozyma guilliermondii. Its description in RNAcentral is "eukaryotic LSU rRNA". It matches the Rfam family "Eukaryotic large subunit ribosomal RNA", at positions 67 to 648 of the family's 3401-position model. Lineage: Eukaryota; Fungi; Ascomycota; Pichiomycetes; Serinales; Debaryomycetaceae. The record is from RNAcentral.
AACAGGGAUUGCCUUAGUAGCGGCGAGUGAAGCGGCAAAAGCUCAAAUUUGAAAUCUGGCGCCUUCGGUGUCCGAGUUGUAAUUUGAAGAUUGUAACCUUGGGGUUGGCUCUUGUCUAUGUUUCUUGGAACAGGACGUCACAGAGGGUGAGAAUCCCGUGCGAUGAGAUGCCCAAUUCUAUGUAAGGUGCUUUCGAAGAGUCGAGUUGUUUGGGAAUGCAGCUCUAAGUGGGUGGUAAAUUCCAUCUAAAGCUAAAUAUUGGCGAGAGACCGAUAGCGAACAAGUACAGUGAUGGAAAGAUGAAAAGAACUUUGAAAAGAGAGUGAAAAAGUACGUGAAAUUGUUGAAAGGGAAGGGUUUGAGAUCAGACUCGAUAUUUUGUGAGCCUUGCCUUCGUGGCGGGGUGACCCGCAGCUUAUCGGGCCAGCAUCGGUUUGGGCGGUAGGAUAAUGGCGUAGGAAUGUGACUUUACUUCGGUGAAGUGUUAUAGCCUGCGUUGAUGCUGCCUGCCUAGACCGAGGACUGCGAUUUUAUCAAGGAUGCUGGCAUAAUGAUCCCAAACCGC